Molecule: ribosomal RNA, 274 nt
Filed under: uncultured bacterium
Lineage: Bacteria
Description: partial 16S ribosomal RNA
Rfam family: Bacterial small subunit ribosomal RNA
Source: RNAcentral
AUACGGAGGGGGCUAGCGUUGUUCGGAAUUACUGGGCGUAAAGCGCACGUAGGCGGGUUAAAAAGUUAGAGGUGAAAUCCCAGGGCUUAACCCUGGAACUGCCUUUAAAACCAGUAGUCUAGAGUUCGAGAGAGGUGAGUGGAAUUCCAAGUGUAGAGGUGAAAUUCGUAGAUAUUUGGAGGAACACCAGUGGCGAAGGCGGCUCACUGGCUCGAUACUGACGCUGAGGUGCGAAAGCGUGGGGAGCAAACAGGAUUAGAAACCCGGGUAGUCC